GCCAUGCACCACCUGUAUACCGACCACAAGGGGGGCACCAUCUCUGAUGCUUUCCGGUAUAUGUCAAGCCUUGGUAAGGUUCUUCGCGUUGCGUCGAAUUAAGCCACAUGCUCCGCUGCUUGUGCGGGCCCCCGUCAAUUCCUUUGAGUUUUAGCCUUGCGGCCGUACUCCCCAGGCGGGGAACUUAAUGCGUUAGCUGCGGCACCGACGACGUGGAAUGUCGCCAACACCUAGUUCCCAACGUUUACGGCGUGGACUACCAGGGUAUCUAAUCCUGUUCGCUCCCCACGCUUUCGCUCCUCAGCGUCAGUAAUGGCCCAGAGAUCCGCCUUCGCCACCGGUGUUCCUCCUGAUAUCUGCGCAUUUCACCGCUACACCAGGAAUUCCGAUCUCCCCUACCACACUCUAGCUAGCCCGUAUCGAAUGCAGACCCGGGGUUAAGCCCCGGGCUUUCACAUCCGACGUGACAAGCCGCCUACGAGCUCUUUACGCCCAAUAAUUCCGGACAACGCUUGCGCCCUACGUAUUACCGCGGCUGCUGGCACGUAGUUAGCCGGCGCUUCUUCUGCAGGUACCGUCACUUUCGCUUCUUCCCUGCUGAAAGAGGUUUACAACCCGAAGGCCGUCAUCCCUCACGCGGCGUCGCUGCAUCAGGCUUUCGCCCAUUGUGCAAUAUUCCCCACUGCUGCCUCCCGUAGAGUCUGGGCCGUGUCUCAGUCCCAGUGUGG
RNAcentral lists this ribosomal RNA (728 nucleotides) under Streptomyces sp. A-201. Its description in RNAcentral is "partial 16S ribosomal RNA". The record is from RNAcentral. Lineage: Bacteria; Bacillati; Actinomycetota; Actinomycetes; Kitasatosporales; Streptomycetaceae.